Molecule: unclassified non-coding RNA, 328 nt
Filed under: soil metagenome
Description: partial contains 5.8S ribosomal RNA, internal transcribed spacer 2, and large subunit ribosomal RNA
Rfam family: 5.8S ribosomal RNA (bases 5-119)
Source: RNAcentral
GAUGAGAACGUAGCGAAAUGCGAUAAGUAAUGUGAAUUGCAGAAUUCAGUGAAUCAUCGAAUCUUUGAACGCACAUUGCGCCCUCUGGUAUUCCGGGGGGCAUGCCUGUUCGAGCGUCAUUAUAACCACUCAAGCUCUCGCUUGGUAUUGGGGUUCGCGGUUUCGCGGCCCCUAAAAUCAGUGGCGGUGCCUGUCGGCUCUACGCGUAGUAAUACUUCUCGCGAUUGAGUUCGAUAGGUCUACUUGCCAGUAACCCCCAAUUUUUACAGGUUGACCUCGGAUCAGGUAGGGAUACCCGCUGAACUUAAGCAUAUCAAUAAGCGGAGGA